Molecule: unclassified non-coding RNA, 182 nt
Filed under: Inocybe acriolens
Lineage: Eukaryota; Fungi; Basidiomycota; Agaricomycetes; Agaricales; Inocybaceae
Description: partial internal transcribed spacer 2
Source: RNAcentral
AACUUCUUCUCAACCCAUCCAGUUUCUCUGUGUGUGGGCUUUGGACAAUGGGGGCUUGCUGGUUGCUAUUUUUCCAGCUCUCCUGAAAAGCAUUAGCGGCAUCUGGGCUGCUUGCAGGUGUGAUAACUCGUCUACACCUUUGCAGUGGCUGCAUUUGUGCUGCUUUAGAGGGCAUUGAUGGA